RNAcentral lists this ribosomal RNA (552 nucleotides) under uncultured archaeon. RNAcentral describes it as "bacterial SSU rRNA". It matches the Rfam family "Archaeal small subunit ribosomal RNA", at positions 326 to 879 of the family's 1478-position model. The record is from RNAcentral.
CGGGGUGCCCAGGCGCGAAAACUUUACAAUGCUGGAAACAGCGAUAAGGGGACCUCGAGUGCCAGGUUACAAAUCUGGCUGUCGUGAUGCCUAAAAAGCAUUGCAUAGCAAGGGCCGGGCAAGACCGGUGCCAGCCGCCGCGGUAACACCGGCGGCUCGAGUGGUAACCGUUAUUAUUGGGUCUAAAGGGUCUGUAGCCGGCCGGAUAAGUCUCUUGGGAAAUCCAGCAGCUCAACUGUUGGGCUUUCAGGAGAUACUGUCUGGCUCGAGGCCGGGAGAGGUGAGAGGUACUUCAGGGGUAGGGGUGAAAUCUUGUAAUCCUUGAAGGACCACCAGUGGCGAAGGCGUCUCACCAGAACGGACCUGACGGCAAGGGACGAAAGCUAGGGGCACGAACCGGAUUAGAUACCCGGGUAGUCCUAGCCGUAAACGAUACUCGCUAGGUGUCGGCCACGGUGCGACCGUUGUCGGUGCCGUAGGGAAGCCGUGAAGCGAGCCACCUGGGAAGUACGGCCGCAAGGCUGAAACUUAAAGGAAUUGGCGGGGGAGCAC